UGACACUGUGGAUUUUCACUGUUCUAAGCUCCCCGUGACCUGUGGUGAGGCGAAAGGGAUUUUAUAUAAGAAGAAAAUGAAACACGGAUCCUCAGUGAAGUGCAUUCGGAAUGAGGAUGGAACUUGGUUAACACCAAAUGAAUUUGAAGUCGAAGGAAAAGGAAGAAAUGCAAAGAACUGGAAACGGAAUAUACGUUGUGAAGGAACGACCCUAGGAGAGCUGCUGAAGGUAUUAUAAUGACGGGACAGAUAGGUGACAGGUUUAAAUCCUUGAAGGAGAAGUGGAGCUUUAGGAGCAGAAAUGUGAAGAGCUCCCGUUAGGAUUCAACAGCAUGAUUUAUAAGGAGUUAAAUGUUCAUAGAAAAAAAAUUGUGGGUGACAAAGUUAGGAGCACAGAUUGUUCCUGAUGGUGGAGAACUUUAAAUGCAAGUAAAGGAGUACAGGAACUUUAAGUGCCGGCAAAGGGCUUUGAGGUGAAGAGAGAUGUAAGAACCUAAAAAGAAACUAGCUGAAGACAGAUGCCUGCAACCACUCUCCUGCAUCCUCUACCUGACAUCUACUCAAGGCCCAGCUCAUCUGGCCCCCCUGCAGCAUUUCCAGGCUGCCCAGUCCGUGGUCUGUCUCUCCGCUGCAUGUCCACAGCACACUAUUCCUGUCCUGAGAACAACUAGUGUCUAUGAUGACAGGACCCAACACAAG
This 699-nucleotide long non-coding RNA is filed under the name Pan troglodytes (chimpanzee). RNAcentral describes it as "long non-coding RNA NONPTRT011174". The record is from RNAcentral. Lineage: Eukaryota; Metazoa; Chordata; Mammalia; Primates; Hominidae.